GUGAAGAGAGAUGGCUGUUCUCAAUGCUGAAUGUUUUUUCCUUUUUGUCUAGGGCUGCUUCCCCAAGCCCACAGUCUGUAAGAAGGGUCUCAUCCUCCCGAUCUGUCUCCGGGUCUCCUGAGCCAGCAGCUAAAAAGCCCCCAGCACCUCCAUCCCCCGUCCAGUCUCAGUCACCGUCUACAAACUGGUCACCAGCUGUACCGGUCAAAAAGGCCAAAAGCCCAACACCGAGCCCAUCACCGCCAAGAAAUUCAGAUCAGGAAGGAGGUGGAAAGAAAAAGAAGAAAAAGAAGGACAAGAAACACAAAAAGGAUAAGAAGCACAAGAAGCACAAAAAACACAAGAAGGAAAAGGCUGUGGCUGCAGCUGCUGCAGCUGCUGUGACCCCUGCAGCCAUUGCAGCUGCCACAACCACAUUAGCACAGGAAGAGCCAGUGGCAGCGCCAGAGCCGAAGAAGGAGACUGAAAGUGAAGCUGAAGAUAACCUUGAUGAUUUAGAAAAGCACCUGCGUGAAAAGGCCCUGAGAUCAAUGAGGAAGGCCCAAGUGUCCCCACAGUCUUAGGGGGAAAUGUUUGUUAUGAUGUAAAUUUUAUUUGGUUUGUACGCAGUUCAAUUUCAAAAUUGCUAAAAUGUGUUUGAGCUUUAGACUAUAACAUUUGUUGUAAUAAUUGCUAGGUUGAAGUUCAACAUGUAAAAAAAGGGGGCAUGGAUUUACAUUGCAAAAGGUGUCCACAGUGUAUUAGUGACAUUCUUUCAUUGACAGCUGACAUAAUUCAUUGAGUGAAAUAUUUUAAGCCAAAAAAAAAUUCCCUUUUUAAAAAAGGGGGUUUAAAUACUGUUGGCAUUUUUAUGGUUCCUUUAAAUGCCCUAGCUAUUCCCAGAGGGGUUUUUUUGUUUGUUUUUUUGGUUUUGAUUUUCUUUUUGUUUUUCUUUCUUCUUCUUAUUUUUUUCAUUUGAGUCUUAGCUCCCAUUUAAGUUAUGCUUCUGACCUUGUAUGGUCUGUAAGCUUGCCCAGAAAUAAGACCACUGUUUUGAACUACCAC
Molecule: long non-coding RNA, 1044 nt
Filed under: Homo sapiens (human)
Lineage: Eukaryota; Metazoa; Chordata; Mammalia; Primates; Hominidae
Description: long non-coding RNA NONHSAT148537.1
Source: RNAcentral